GAAAUGCGAUAAGUAGUGUGAAUUGCAGAAUUCAGUGAAUCAUCGAAUCUUUGAACGCACAUUGCGCCCCUUGGUAUUCCAUGGGGCAUGCCUGUUCGAGCGUCAUUUGUACCCUCAAGCUCUGCUUGGUGUUGGGUGUUUGUCCCCGUCUCCGCGCGUGGACUCGCCCCAAAGUGAUUGGCAGCCGCCGUACUGGUCCCGGAGCGCAGCACAUGUCGCGCAAACGAGUGCCUUGGUACGGCGGCGUCCAUAAGCCCCUCUCUCACGCUCUUGACCUCGGAUCAGGUAGGGAUACCCGCUGAACUUAAGC
RNAcentral lists this unclassified non-coding RNA (310 nucleotides) under plant metagenome. Its description in RNAcentral is "partial contains 5.8S ribosomal RNA, internal transcribed spacer 2, and large subunit ribosomal RNA". The stretch from base 1 to 105 matches the Rfam family "5.8S ribosomal RNA", at positions 50 to 154 of the family's 154-position model. The record is from RNAcentral.